This 25-nucleotide ribosomal RNA is filed under the name Sarmentypnum exannulatum. RNAcentral describes it as "partial 18S ribosomal RNA". RNAcentral also lists the same sequence under 3 other names. Lineage: Eukaryota; Viridiplantae; Streptophyta; Bryopsida; Hypnales; Amblystegiaceae. The record is from RNAcentral.
GGGUGAACCUGCGGAAGGAUCAUUG